GAUAAUAUCAAAAAAGCACAUUGAAGUUAAUCAUUCGAUCUGUAUUCAUCAAGACGAGCACAUCAUUGCCAAAAAAGAUCGAAAAUGUUGCUCGUUGUUGAUUAGCUAUUUUAUUAGCAAGCGCGCAUGCGCAACCAGUUGAGAAUGCAAAGCAAAGUACUGGGAAAGCAGAACUGAAACCACUGAUCAUGCCUACUGCAAGACCAAAGAUAAAUUUUCAACGUCCGAAGGUGCCGGCGCCUCCACCAGAAGAUUUCACAGACGAUGACGGCGAUGUACCGAAUGAUGUCGAGUUUGAUUAUAAUAACAACCCUGACAGUGCAGAGAAUAAAAAUUUAGAACAAGCACAACGUAGGAUCAUCUCACCAUUACUGAAAAAUGUCAGCAAGAUGAUAGGAGCUGGAACGGUGACUGCCGGAGUAAUAUCAGGCGUUGUAAAACCUCUCACAGAGGGCCUUGUUGGUAAAAUGAUGGACUACGCUGUCAGUCAGAUGAAUUCAAAGAAGCCUGUUAGUCGCAUGCUGGUUUUAAUAUUGGAAGCGUCCAAGUUUAUUAUGGAAAUGAUGGACUUUUUGACAAAGCGUGGUAGUUUGAUUCAAAAGAUCAUCGUGGUCAUCUUGAAGUUGUUAAGCGGAACAUUGGGAUCAUUCAAAAAUCUUAAAAAUUAAUUAAAACGUUAAAUGUGAAAGAAUCUGUAUUUUACUCCUUGGUGUAUUAACACGACCAUCUAAAUAAUUCAAUUGUUUGUAUUUCAUUGUUUUUCUGGUUAAUUACCAGAUAAUAACCUGAUUGUUUCACGCUUUUUGUAAAUUAUACUGAUAAGAUACUUUUGUAUAAAUAAAAAAGUAUAAGUCAUGAAAAUUCAUAUUUGUUGCAGAUUAUAGACAAUUAAUAAAUGGCGAUGUCUUAUUUUUUAUUGUUGACGUUUAUUUUGGGGGUUAUAAAUGUUUUCUUGGUGGAUAAAGCUGAAUGCCAAUAUGGACACUAUGGACAACCGCAACCACAAGUGGUUGUUCAGCGAGUUGUUACGCCAUCAUUGGUCAGUCCGCAGACCGCCGAGUUGAUAACAGCGGUUUUGUUUCCGUUGCGAGUAUUAUGUUAUAUUUCGAAGGUUAUUGCUCGCACUUUCUUAGUUUAACUUGUUCAAAUUUGAAAGGUUUUAUUGAUUAAUAUGGUAUUUAUACGUGAAUAGCUUUGAUAAUCACAAAAGAAUAUUGUUUGGUGUGAAUUUAAGAAAUAAAGCUAAUGCAUAUAAAGAA
Molecule: long non-coding RNA, 1259 nt
Organism: Dalotia coriaria
Lineage: Eukaryota; Metazoa; Arthropoda; Insecta; Coleoptera; Staphylinidae
Exons: 3
Source: RefSeq, a predicted model, not a curated record